This 334-nucleotide long non-coding RNA is filed under the name Eucalyptus grandis. RNAcentral's name for it is "long non-coding RNA (EGRA_LNC004973)". The record is from RNAcentral. Lineage: Eukaryota; Viridiplantae; Streptophyta; Magnoliopsida; Myrtales; Myrtaceae.
GCAGCAAAAAUAUCAGUAAAGGAACUCUGACCAAGAUCAAUUCAAUCCAAUGUCAAAAGCAUGCAAUAUCCUGCAACAAUUGAAAUGGCUAGUUAAGCCAUCAUUGUACCAUCUCUGGCUUUUUCAGUGCCAGACCAAAUAGUAAAGAAGCAACAAAAUUCGGACUUGACAUUGAUGAAUGCACAUUUUUAUUGAAAUUGGACAGAGACUAUGUACAACAGCUGACAUGAACUCCACAUCAGUCCAGCUAAUUGUAGUAUUGACAGAAGGCAAAUCCCAUAGAUAUUCCUCAUACUCAGUACCAGUUGCAGCCGCUAAGGAAUAGCUGACAUAC